This 292-nucleotide ribosomal RNA is filed under the name uncultured bacterium. RNAcentral's name for it is "partial 16S ribosomal RNA". It matches the Rfam family "Bacterial small subunit ribosomal RNA", at positions 505 to 796 of the family's 1533-position model. The record is from RNAcentral.
GUGCCAGCCGCCGCGGUAAGACGAACCGAGCGAACGUUGUUCGGAAUCACUGGGCUUAAAGGGCGCGUAGGCGGGCGGUCAAGUCGAGGGUGAAAGCCCCCAGCUCAACUGGGGAAGUGCCUCCGAUACUGGCCGUCUCGAGGGGGAUAGGGGCGUGCGGAACUUCCGGUGGAGCGGUGAAAUGCGUAGAUAUCGGAAGGAACAUCGGUGGCGAAAGCGGCGCGCUGGAUCCCUUCUGACGCUGAGGCGCGAAAGCCAGGGGAGCGAACGGGAUUAGAAACCCUCGUAGUCC